GAUGAACGCUGGCGGCGUGCCUAAUACAUGCAAGUCGAGCGAACAGACGAGGAGCUUGCUCCUCUGACGUUAGCGGCGGACGGGUGAGUAACACGUGGAUAACCUACCUAUAAGACUGGGAUAACUUCGGGAAACCGGAGCUAAUACCGGAUAAUAUAUUGAACCGCAUGGUUCAAUAGUGAAAGACGGUUUUGCUGUCACUUAUAGAUGGAUCCGCGCCGCAUUAGCUAGUUGGUAAGGUAACGGCUUACCAAGGCAACGAUGCGUAGCCGACCUGAGAGGGUGAUCGGCCACACUGGAACUGAGACACGGUCCAGACUCCUACGGGAGGAAGCAGUAGGGAAUCUUCCGCAAUGGGCGAAGGCCUGACGGGGCAACGCCGGGUGAUUGAUGAAGGUCUUCGGAUCGUAAAACUCUGUUAUUAGGGAAGAACAAAUGUGUAAGUAACUAUGCACGUCUUGACGGUACCUAAUCAGAAAGCCACGGCUAACUACGUG
RNAcentral lists this ribosomal RNA (497 nucleotides) under uncultured bacterium. Its description in RNAcentral is "partial 16S ribosomal RNA". It matches the Rfam family "Bacterial small subunit ribosomal RNA", at positions 28 to 507 of the family's 1533-position model. The record is from RNAcentral.